UACGUAGGUGACAAGCGUUGUCCGGAUUUACUGGGCGUAAAGAGCGCGCAGGCGGUCGAUCAAGUCGAGUGUGAAAGCCCCCGGCUCAACUGGGGAGGGUCAUUCGAUACUGAUCGACUCGAAGGCAGGAGAGGGUAGUGGAAUUCCCGGUGUAGUGGUGAAAUGCGUAGAUAUCGGGAGGAACAUCAGUGGCGAAGGCGGCCCUCUGGUCCAGUACUGACACUCAAGUGCGAAAGCGUGGGGAGCAAACAGG
This 253-nucleotide ribosomal RNA is filed under the name uncultured bacterium. RNAcentral describes it as "partial 16S ribosomal RNA". It matches the Rfam family "Bacterial small subunit ribosomal RNA", at positions 524 to 776 of the family's 1533-position model. The record is from RNAcentral.